AAGUCGUAACAAGGUCUCCGUUGGUGAACCAGCGGAGGGAUCAUUAAAGAGUUUUUACAACUCCUAAACCCCUGUGAACAUACCUUCUGUUGCCUCGGCAGGCCCUGGCCUACCCUGUAGCGCCCUUACAUCGUAGGGGCUGCUUUAGGGGGAGCGCUAGGGGAACCUGCCGGCGGCCUGCAAAACUCUGUUUAGCAUUAAAUUCUGAACAUAUAACUAAAUAAGUUAAAACUUUCAACAACGGAUCUCUUGGUUCUG
RNAcentral lists this unclassified non-coding RNA (258 nucleotides) under Xylaria mellissii. Its description in RNAcentral is "partial internal transcribed spacer region". The stretch from base 1 to 46 matches the Rfam family "Eukaryotic small subunit ribosomal RNA", at positions 1786 to 1831 of the family's 1831-position model. Lineage: Eukaryota; Fungi; Ascomycota; Sordariomycetes; Xylariales; Xylariaceae. The record is from RNAcentral.